Molecule: ribosomal RNA, 201 nt
Filed under: uncultured bacterium
Lineage: Bacteria
Description: partial 16S ribosomal RNA
Rfam family: Bacterial small subunit ribosomal RNA
Source: RNAcentral
ACGCUCGACACCUACUGGAGGCAGCAGUGGGGAAUAUUGGGCAAUGGGCGCAAGCCUGACCCAGCAACGCCGCGUGAAGGAAGAAGGCCCUCGGGUUGUAAACUUCUUUUGACAGGGACGAAACAAAUGACGGUACCUGUCGAAUAAGCCACGGCUAACUACGUGCUAGCAGCCGCGGUAAUCUGAGCGGGCUGGCAAGGC